This 253-nucleotide ribosomal RNA is filed under the name uncultured bacterium. Its description in RNAcentral is "partial 16S ribosomal RNA". It matches the Rfam family "Bacterial small subunit ribosomal RNA", at positions 524 to 776 of the family's 1533-position model. The record is from RNAcentral.
UACGAAGGGGGCUAGCGUUGUUCGGAAUUACUGGGCGUAAAGCGCACGUAGGCGGACAUUUAAGUCAGGGGUGAAAUCCCAGAGCUCAACUCUGGAACUGCCUUUGAUACUGGGUGUCUUGAGUAUGGAAGAGGUGAGUGGAAUUCCGAGUGUAGAGGUGAAAUUCGUAGAUAUUCGGAGGAACACCAGUGGCGAAGGCGGCUCCCUGGUCCAUUACUGACGCUGAGGUGCGAAAGCGUGGGGAGCAAACAGG